Musa acuminata subsp. malaccensis (wild Malaysian banana) is the source of this 1052-nucleotide non-coding RNA. NCBI's taxonomy places the organism in Eukaryota, Viridiplantae, Streptophyta, Magnoliopsida, Zingiberales, Musaceae. The record is from RefSeq and is a predicted model, not a curated record.
CCCGUUUCGCCCAAUCCCACAUUUUAGCGGUCUGGCCUUCGAGAUUUCUUUCAUUUCGCCUUCGCCAUUCAAACAAAGGGGAAGGCAGCUGCGGAUCCCGACUUCUUUCGUGAUCCUGAUCGUUUUCGUCGUCCGAGGGAAGGAUCUUGGAAGACGGAGCCCGGGAGCCUAGUUCUUGGAUCGAUUAGGAGGUCGAGAGAGGCUCGUCUGAUCGGCUCGGAACCGUAGCUCCGAGGACAUGGCCAAGGCGGCGAUGGCGGUGCCCCUCGUGCGGCACCGGACGCGGAGCUCGGGCUGCCGCGGUGAUCAACGAACUCAAGGAGCGACGCGCCGCGCCAGCCCAACGCGAAGCCGCGGCAGGUGGCGGACGUGACGACGGAGGAGAUGCACGCGGGGCUCGCUUCCCAGGGCGGGAGCAAGCUUAAGAUUCUGAUCAGCUACGUCGACAACCUCCCCCCUGGGCAGGUUGGGGAAGAUGUGGUCUCUGAAUUGAUGAGGGCCAUUGAAGGACAAGGUCUCAAUAUGCAAGUAUCAGCACUGGUUAAUUAUACAAUCGGGACAUUAGCUGGGGCGAGAUGUUAUGAUAAUGAUGUAGUUGCUGCUGUGAUACUAGGCGCUGGUACAAAUGCAGCCUAUGUAGAGCAUGCCCAUGCAAUACCUAAGUGGCACAGUCUUCUUCCCAAAUCAGGAGAGAUGGUGAACAAACUUUCUUUUGCCUGACAUGUUAUCAACGUGGAAUGAGAAACUUCAGGUCAUCUCAUCUUUUCUUUAACUGACUAUGAUCAAGCAUUAGUUUUUUGAGGGUUUGAACCCUGGUGACAAGUAAUAUUUUUGGGAAGUUGAUAUCUGGAAUGUAUCUGAAAGGAAUUUUAGGAGAGUCCUGAGAUUGGUUAACGAAGCUUGCCUUGUUUGGAGACUGUGUUCCAUCGAAACUCAAAACUCCGUUUAUACUAAGGACUCCAAGUCAUGUCAGCGGUGCACCACCAUACUUCACCUGAUCUUAUUGUUGUUGGGACUAAACCGAAGGAAGUCUUGAAGGCACAAUCUUCUUG